Orcinus orca (killer whale) is the source of this 758-nucleotide long non-coding RNA. RefSeq lists it as uncharacterized. The record is from RefSeq and is a predicted model, not a curated record. NCBI's taxonomy places the organism in Eukaryota, Metazoa, Chordata, Mammalia, Artiodactyla, Delphinidae. The transcript is spliced from 3 exons.
UGCUGCUGACUACAGUGACCUUUUCCCUUUGCUCUGGAAGGCCUUGAGCCUUCCGGAGGGGUCAUCCGUCGUUGCAGAAAUCGUUCCCUAAGGCCGUUCCCUCCGUGCUUCCUCCAAAAAAGGAGCCCGAACGCCCGCGGGGCCUGCCGGGUCCGCAAGUCCCGAGCGAGUUGCCUCAUCCCGGCCGCACCUCGCCUUGAGAACUAGCCUUGUGACGCGUCUUUGUGAGGUGGCCGCGUGUGGAGAGAAGGACUCAGGCGGAUGCAGCAACGGAGACGGCUUGGAUGGAAAACCCUUUUCAGCCAGGCUCCAAGGCGCUAAAUUGGAUUCCGGAUCGAAAGCCGAGCAAUCCCCGGAUGGGCUUUGUCGGUUAACCCAUCCCAUCGUGUCCCCAGCUCUCCGUAAAGAAAAACUUCAGUCUCCUGAGCCUUCCCUGAGUUGCAAAAAGUCUGACCCAAGAAUUAAUGAUUAGAGGAAUGAAAACAUGCAGAAACAAAGAACAGCAGUCGGGCAGGAGAACUGUUGUUUUUACAGAACCCAGAUUCCCCACCAGAUGGAAACUGCUGACCACAAGCACAUAGACCCCAGACCAGUUAGAGCCAGAAGAUUGAUGAUGUUGAUUCCUGAAACUUCACCUUGUUACCUCACCAUCAACCAGCCAGAGAACUGUGUGUAAGCUGAUCACGCACCCUGAGACCCUCUCCCUCACACUGCCUUUAAAUACACUGUCCUGAAAGCCAUCCAGGAUUUUGGGUCUU